CCCCAGACUCCUACGGGAGGCAGCAGUGGGGAAUAUUGGGCAAUGGGCGCAAGCCUGACCCAGCAACGCCGCGUGAAGGAAGAAGGCUUUCGGGUUGUAAACUUCUUUUAUGAGGGACGAAAGAAAUGACGGUACCUCAUGAAUAAGCCACGGCUAACUACGUGCCAGCAGCCGCGGUAAUACGUAGGUGGCAAGCGUUGUCCGGAAUUACUGGGUGUAAAGGGAGCGCAGGCGGGAAGCCAAGUCAGCUGUGAAAACUACGGGCUUAACUUGUAGACUGCAGUUGAAACUGGUUUUCUUGAGUGAAGUAGAGGUUGGCGGAAUUCCGAGUGUAGCGGUGAAAUGCGUAGAUAUUAGGAGGAACACCAGUGGCGAAGGCGGCCUGCUGGACGACAACUGACGGUGAGGCGCGAAAGCGUGGGGAGCAAACAGGAUUAGAUACCCUUGUAAU
Molecule: ribosomal RNA, 451 nt
Filed under: uncultured bacterium
Lineage: Bacteria
Description: bacterial SSU rRNA
Rfam family: Bacterial small subunit ribosomal RNA
Source: RNAcentral